Vicia villosa (hairy vetch) is the source of this 1421-nucleotide long non-coding RNA. RefSeq lists it as uncharacterized. The transcript has 2 exons. Lineage: Eukaryota; Viridiplantae; Streptophyta; Magnoliopsida; Fabales; Fabaceae. The record is from RefSeq and is a predicted model, not a curated record.
CGAUCUUUGUUGCCCUCUUUUCUCAAAUUCUUUUUGUGACCAAAGAUUCGUAUAUGAGGUCAGCGUUUUAUUUUUUUUAAUUUCACCUUUGUUCUUUUCUUUAAUUUCCAUUUGUUCUGAUCAAACGGUGAACAAGUAUUAACUAUUGUAUAUGCAUAUAUUCACAUUCACGUAUACACACGUCACACUAUUUUUCUUUUAUUUUAACCCAAAGAAAAUCUUAUUUGAAAAGCAUGGACGAAGAAAUUAUACAAAGCCAUUCACACAAUGUUACUGUAACAUCCAUUCAAAACUACUAAUCUACUAAUGUUCCAAACCUGUGAAUAAAUCUUAACAUCGAUAUACCAUUCAAGACGAUCCAAAAUUUUACACUAUUUUUUUCAAACCAGAUCCAAAAUUAUACACCAUUUUUCAAACCAGAUCCAAAAUUAUCACAACAAUAGAACUAAUUCAGUCUUUAAUAGUUUUCCUUGUUCAGAAGAAUUGAGCCACAGUUUCACUAAAUUCAUCAUAAACUUCAAACCACCGUCAAAUUCAUCGCAUCAUCUUCAGAACCCAUCAAACACUUGGAUUCGUUUGUUUUGCAGGAAAUCAAAAGAAAUGCUAUGGUCCCUGCAUAACAUCAACAAGAGAAGGAAAUUCAAAGAACACAAAGAUUGAGAAGCAACAAAAUCAAUUCCAUAAAAUCUGUCUCCGAUUGCAAAGUCGCUCAAACUCCGAUGAAGCUCAGCACCGGAAUAGAUCCUUUUGCCGUUCGGAUCUCUCCCUCUCCACAACAACCAGCACCGUGACAACAAGCCAAGAUCCACACCACCGAUUCACAACUCAGAACCGAUUCAACACAACUUUCAUGAAAUCAUUAAUCAACUCAUGAUUUAAACCUUCACUUUUCUCAUUAUUAAUAUCAUGUAUGCACUGAUUUUCUUUUCUCAGGAAAGAACAUGAAUGGAUUCAAUGGAGUAAAAAAAACAGUAGAAGCUGCAAAAAUUCGAACACCAAAAGAAGCAAAAAGAAGAAUGCAAAUCCGGAUCCACCAUACGAACUUUUCACGCGAACAGAUUCGACAUAUGCCACCACUGCGGAUUCAAAGAUCUAACGCAGCGAACAACAACACCGUCACGACGACGACUCCCCACGCACUGGAUCUGCAAUCUCCGUGCGGAUUGCAUCAGAUUGAGGAUAGCGGCUUCGACUCGGUGAGGAUUAGCUCAUGAGUCAAUGUGUCAGUUAGCGUCGGGUCAUGCUCUGAUAGAUGUAACACUGGGGAACGUUGUUUUUAAGUUUAUGACAUUAACUCUGUUUUGUUUAAUUUAUUUGAGGAUUUAAGCAUUGAUGAUGUAAUGCUAGUUUGAUGAUUUAUUCCGCUGUGUUAACAUGAGAAAUUUGAUUCAUAAGUUAUGUUGAGAUGUUUCUUCAGUGAA